RNAcentral lists this ribosomal RNA (252 nucleotides) under uncultured bacterium. RNAcentral describes it as "partial 16S ribosomal RNA". It matches the Rfam family "Bacterial small subunit ribosomal RNA", at positions 525 to 776 of the family's 1533-position model. The record is from RNAcentral.
ACGGAGGGUGCAAACGUUGUUCGGAAUCACUGGGCAUAAAGAGCACGUAGGCGGCGCUCUAAGUCAGAUGUGAAAUCCCCCGGCUCAACCGGGGAACUGCACCUGAUACUGGAGCGCUCGAGGACGGUAGGGGUGAGUGGAACUCCAGGUGGAGCGGUGAAAUGCGUAGAUAUCUGGAGGAACACCGGUGGCGAAAGCGGCUCACUGGACCGUCUCUGACGCUGAGGUGCGAAAGCUAGGGUAGCAAACGGG